Molecule: ribosomal RNA, 500 nt
Filed under: uncultured bacterium
Lineage: Bacteria
Description: partial 16S ribosomal RNA
Rfam family: Bacterial small subunit ribosomal RNA
Source: RNAcentral
AAUGAACGCUGGCGGCAUGCCUUACACAUGCAAGUCGAACGGUAACAGUGAGCUUGCCCCGCUGACGAGUGGCGAACGGGUGAGUAAUGUAUCGGAACGUACCUUUCAGUGGGGGAUAACGUAGCGAAGGUUACGCAAAUACCGCAUAUUCUGUGAGGAGGAAACCAGGGGACCUUCGGGGCUUGCGCUAAUAGAGCGGCUGAAAUCAGAUUAGCUAGUUGGUGAGGUAAAGGGUCACCAAGGCGACGAUCUGUAGCGGGUCGGAGAGGAUGAUCCGCGACACUGGACCUGAAACACGGUCCAGACUCCUACGGGAGGCAGCAGUGGGGAACUUUGGACAAUGGUGGGAACCCUGAUCCAGCCAUGCCGCGUGAGUGAAGAAGACGUUCGGGUUGUAAAGCUCUUUCUGCUGGGAAAAAAUCCCAUGGGCUAAUACCCUGUGUGGAUGAUGGUACCGGAAGAAGAAGCACCGGCUAACUACGUGCCAGCCGCCGCAGUAA